GUGGGGAAUCUUAGACAAUGGGGGAAACCCUGAUCUAGUCAUGCCGCGUGAGCGAUGAAGGCCUUAGGGUUGUAAAGCUCUUUCAGCUGGGAAGAUAAUGACUGUACCAGCAGAAGAAGCCCCGGCUAACUCCGUGCCAGCAGCCGCGGUAAUACGGAGGGGGCUAGCGUUGUUCGGAAUUACUGGGCGUAAAGCGAACGUAGGCGGACCGGAAAGUCAGAGGUGAAAUCCCAGGGCUCAACCUUGGAACUGCCUUUGAAACUCCUGGUCUUGAGGUCGAGAUAGGUGAGUGGAAUUCCGAGUGUAGAGGUGAAAUUCGUAGAUAUUCGGAGGAACACCAGUGGCGAAGGCGGCUCACUGGCUCGAUACUGACGCUGAGGUGCGAAAGCGUGGGGAGCAAACAGGAUUAGAUACCCUUGUAGUCC
RNAcentral lists this ribosomal RNA (425 nucleotides) under uncultured bacterium. RNAcentral's name for it is "partial 16S ribosomal RNA". It matches the Rfam family "Bacterial small subunit ribosomal RNA", at positions 354 to 796 of the family's 1533-position model. The record is from RNAcentral.